UUAUCGUAGUGAUAUGAUGGUGAGUGGGAUAUUGGUGAUCAAACGAGGUUAUAGAAGAAACUCUUUAAUUGCUUGCUUAAAAAAAAGUACUGAGAGAUAAAGUUUGAAGGUGACCAAUGGGCGGUUGUCCUCCUUGGUGAAUUUGUGUUUUUUUCAAAAUGACAGAGAAAAUGUUGGAACAGAGAAAACGUUGGAACCAAAGGGAUGCGCCGCUGUGGAUGUGUUUUGGAUUGACUUCGU
RNAcentral lists this long non-coding RNA (240 nucleotides) under Lathyrus oleraceus (garden pea). Its description in RNAcentral is "Pisum sativum (pea) long non-coding RNA (PSAT_LNC016840)". The record is from RNAcentral. Lineage: Eukaryota; Viridiplantae; Streptophyta; Magnoliopsida; Fabales; Fabaceae.